Molecule: ribosomal RNA, 253 nt
Filed under: uncultured bacterium
Lineage: Bacteria
Description: partial 16S ribosomal RNA
Rfam family: Bacterial small subunit ribosomal RNA
Source: RNAcentral
UACGUAGGGGGCAAGCGUUGUCCGGAAUCAUUGGGCGUAAAGAGCGUGUAGGCGGCUUGUCGCGUCUGCUGUGAAAUUUCGGGGCUCAACCCCGAACUUGCAGUGGGUACGGGCAGACUAGAGUGUGGUAGGGGAGACUGGAAUUCCUGGUGUAGCGGUGAAAUGCGCAGAUAUCAGGAGGAACACCGAUGGCGAAGGCAGGUCUCUGGGCCAUAACUGACGCUGAGAAGCGAAAGCAUGGGGAGCGAACAGG